RNAcentral lists this transfer RNA (57 nucleotides) under Rattus norvegicus (Norway rat). It matches the Rfam family "tRNA", at positions 8 to 63 of the family's 71-position model. From Rfam's summary of the family: Transfer RNA (tRNA) molecules are approximately 80 nucleotides in length. Their secondary structure includes four short double-helical elements and three loops (D, anti-codon, and T loops). Further hydrogen bonds mediate the characteristic L-shaped molecular structure. tRNAs have two regions of fundamental functional importance: the anti-codon, which is responsible for specific mRNA codon recognition, and the 3' end, to which the tRNAs corresponding amino acid is attached (by aminoacyl-tRNA synthetases). tRNAs cope with the degeneracy of the genetic code in two manners: having more than one tRNA (with a specific anti-codon) for a particular amino acid; and 'wobble' base-pairing, i.e. permitting non-standard base-pairing at the 3rd anti-codon position. The record is from Rfam by way of RNAcentral. Lineage: Eukaryota; Metazoa; Chordata; Mammalia; Rodentia; Muridae.
UGGCUCAGUGGUUAGAGCACUGGCUGAUCUUCCAGAGGUCCUGGGUUCAAUUCCCAG